RNAcentral lists this long non-coding RNA (8129 nucleotides) under Daucus carota (carrot). RNAcentral's name for it is "long non-coding RNA (DCAR_LNC006450)". The record is from RNAcentral. Lineage: Eukaryota; Viridiplantae; Streptophyta; Magnoliopsida; Apiales; Apiaceae.
GAUAAGUGGUAUUUAUACACACUUAUAGGCCUUCAUUUCCACUUAAAUUGGUUGGUUGUACUUAAGUGUUUAGUGUCUUUUAAUGUGUUUUUAGUGUUUUUCUGUGCAGGUCACGAGUUGAGGUGAUGAAGUGAUUUUCUAUCAUUUUAGGUUGGUUUUGGUGCAUUAUUUGCAAGAAUAGAGAAUUGUGGAUUCAUCGCGACUUGGGAUUUUGUGGGUACAUCUUCUACAAACCCUCACGAGAGCACACUCGUCCACUAGAGCUAUCUAGGGGUUUAAAGGGCUUGUUGCAUAUGCUAAAUGCAACCGUGAUCACCUACGGAAGUGGUACUAGAAGCGAGGAAGGACAUGCACGCGAGAACGAGCGAGAAACGAAGAAACGGGAGUGCCAUCACAGACACUAGCGCGCCCGCGCUAACCUGUAGCGCGCCCGCGCUACAGUCUGCUACAUCUAGCGCGCCCGCGCUAGAGUAGCGCGGUGGCGCCCCACAGAAACUUCCCGGGCCGAUUUUUACAGCUUUUCUGAUGGAUUUUCGCAGCGGUCGAGGCCCGGUUGACUUAGUCAAUGCAUUUUAUUUCUCGUGUGUAAAAAACCCUAGCCUCAUAGUAGUUAGAAGAUCGAAACGAUUUCAUAGUUAGUUUUCUCUUGUAAUCGAAGCACAUUAUCAGUUUGUAUUAGAUCGUUCUUUGCGAGGAAGUGACAGUUUCGAGCAAGAUCGUGAACAUCAAAUCUGUAACGUGUGAUCCUUAUUAUUAUUAAUUCAAGCAUUUUUAUUCCAUUCAAUUCUUGUCUUUUCUUUAUAAUGUUUUCAUUAGAACCCAUGAUGUCGAUUAGUUCGAUUAUGAACUAACCGCCUUCAUGGGAUUCUAAUGGAUUUAUCGAUGUAGUCUAGUAACGAAUAUUAAUUACUUGAUUUUGUGACGUACGUUGAUUUCUUUGCAUGAGCCGUGCUUAUUCUUCUUAGGAGCGUAGCUAACUUCUAAGUUGUUUGUUAAUUCUUUCUGAAGCGAGAGUGGAUGAUUGAAUUUAGAACUAUGCCAUGUAAACAUAGGAUUAUGUGAAUGAAACAUAAUUUGUGGUAGACUUGAACUAUUUUUAUCACCCUGUGUAAUCACGAUAGACGACUUGUUAUUAAACCUCUCUGCUUACACUACCGCUAUAGAGAUAUAGGGUCUGAGCUUUGUUGGUGUCCAUGAGAUUUCUGUCUUAAUUGUGGAUUUUGAUUGGUAUGAUAUGUGUGCAACGAGAGUUGGCAUGUAUUACUUUCGUGUUGUCUGAUUAGGAUCAACAGUCGCAUGUUAAUCAGUAAUUUCAAUUCUAGAUGAAUUCGAUAAUGAAGUUAGAAUCCCAUGUGUUUUCCUAUUCUGAAUUUGAUUAGUAAUUUUAAUUAUUAGUAUAAAAGAAACCAAUCCUUGUUAAUUGUCUUAGCAGUGAUAAUUGAUCAUACAUUGUUGCAUAGGUGCGUAUUCUUAAUUCACCAGUCUCUGUGGGAUCGAACUUAAUAUAUUACUUGUGAUCACGUGCGCUUGCGUGUAGAUUUCACCGAACAAGUUUUUGGCGCCGCUGCCGGGGACUCGGUGUUAAUUAAUUAGUUUAUGUACUUGUCAUCAGUGUGCAUUAAAAUUCACUGACUAGGAUUCUAUUCUCUUCUCACUUUUCUUCUUUUCUUUAUUUCAGGUGCUUGGAUCGCGUUUAUGCAAACACAUUCUCAAACCAGUAAGGAAGCAAUGGAUUCAUCUUCUUUCUCUGAUUCUGAAACAAUGAAUUAUGCAAGGACAGCAGUUGGUGAGGCGUCACGUGAAUUUUCUCGUUUGAACAUCAAUGAUAAUCAGGCUGACACAAUUGAACCAGCAAUAUCAGCCAGUGGCAUUCGCAUCAAACCAUCAAUCAUUCUCAAGCUGCAAGAUACCAUUCAAUUUGGGGGUUCUGUUCUUGAGGACCCAAACCUACAUCUAAGGAAUUUCGAGAAAUUCAUUACUGCAUUGGAUUUCAAUAUCGGACCUAAAGAUCUAGUGAAGCUAAGACUCUUUCCAUUCACGCUACGUGAUGUAGCACGAUCGUGGUUUAUCUCUCUCUCGGCAAGCACUACUAAUAGCUGGAACAAGUUGGAGAAAAUAUUCUGUACAAGGUUUUAUCCUCUAAUCAAAGUAUCAGCUAUCAAAAACACUGAAGGCAAAUUCUCUCAAUUCUCGGGAGAAUAUCUUUGCCUAGCUUGGGACCGAUUCAAGAAGAUUCUCGAAAAUCUCAAGGAAGAUGACAUGCCUCCGGGAAUGGCAAUUAAUUACUUCUACAGGGGUCUUAACAGUCAAUGUAGAGCAGAGUUAGACGUGGCAGCUGGAGGAAGUUUGUGGAACAAAAGCUUCGAUGAUGCUUACGAACUGAUAGAGAACCUAGCCGCUGCUGAGCACAAAGAUCUAAAGUGGAAGAUUCCAAAAGAGGAAGAAUCGGAGGAGGAUGAAGCGGUCGAAGUCACUCAGGAAGUCCAGAUGACUAAUUGGCACAGAAUCAGAGCUCACUCAGACUCAAACUUUAAUGCAUGUGGAGACACUUGUCCUCUACUCUCGGCCAAUGCAAGUAACCAAUCCGUAAUUCAAACACCUGCUGUUUCAACACUGAAUGAAGCACAGUACCGAAGAAUAAUCAGGCGUAUUGUCGUGUUGGAGGAACGAAUUGGUCGCUUUGCUGAUAUACUAACAGACUCUCUUGCUGAAGCAUUCUUGGCACUAGAUGUUAAUAUUACUUGGGAUUCGUUUGGUUAUGGAACGAGGUAUCCUCCACAGGAUACUUCAUCGGAAUCGGAUUAAUUCUGGACUUCACGUCGAGCUAACGACGUUAAACAAGCGCUUCGUGGGAGGCAACCCACGCAUUGGAACCACAUUGUACCAUUGUAAACCUCAAAAACACAAAAAUCGAAAAAAUUCAGCCUCCGGUGUCAGACACUAGCGCGCCCGCGCUAGUGUCAGCGCGCCCGCGCUAAGUUGCACAGCGCGCCCGCGCUAUACUUAGCGCGGCCGCGCUACUGACUGCCGAGACAGGCGAUUUUUCUCCCAAAAAUAUUUUCUUUUCGUUUUUAAAAGCCCACAAUCCUAAUUUUGCAUGCCUAGCCCGAAAUAUAUCCUCCAUAACCCUAACUCAGCUCUCAAAAUCCUAUAUAAACACAAAACCCAUCUCCAAUUCCUAUUCUAAUUCUAUAAACCCUACUUAUAUAUAUACACAUCCAUACACACAACCACCAUCAAAUCUCUCAAACCCACUACACACAAAUCUCUUGCAACUCUAAAUCUCUACCAAUGGCACCCAAAAGAGCCCGAAGAUCACAAGGACCAAGCACCCAAGCCCCUACAUCUAGCGAUUCUUCCUCGAUGGGUGAGGUUGAGUUCACCUCCGAUGGUGCACGAACCGAGUUUCAACGGCUUAUGAAUAAGUCGUUAGUUAAGGAGAGGGGAUUCUUACCCACGGCGGAAGAUGGUGAGCUCUUGAACAUGAUUCAAGAACGGGGUUGGGAGUCUUUUUGCGAGGCUCCGGAGGCGGUUCCCUUGGCUAUUAUUCGAGAGUUUUAUGCUAAUGCCAAGGAGAAUCGCGAUGGAUUCACGGUGGUGCGGGGAAUCCGUGUGGAUUAUAGUGCGGAGGCGAUCCGUAGAGUGAUUGGGGGGCGUGCCAAGCGCCGUAAUGAAGAAGAUUGGGUUGUUGAGAGGAUCGGGCGUGCUAAACGCCGGUUUGAUGAUGAUCCGGUUGAUCUUGAGCGGUUGGUGUAUGAUAUGUGUGUGCCGGACACGACUUGGAAGAUGACUGCACCUCCUUUGCCGGCACAUGUUUCGUUUCCAGCAGCCGCGUUGAACCGGUAUGCGAAGGCGUGGAACGCCUUCAUCUGUGCUAACAUCAUGCCAUCUUCACAUGGGCAUGAGGUGACAGUGGAUAGAGCUAUUCUGCUCUUUGGGAUUGUCUCGGGCAAGUAUAUUGAUCUGGGACAUGUUAUUCAUCAGGGAAUUCUGAGGUUCUUACGGGGAGGAACCACUGGUGCCAUUCCAUAUGGCACAAUUGUGACGAAGCUCUGUCGAUCGAGCGGUGUUCGUUGGCCAUCCAACGAGCAAUUACAGUUGCCAGGGACACCUAUUGAUCAUUCGGCGAUCAGUCGGAUGACGGAGUGGGAAGGAGGAGUUCCCCACCCUCGAGGUCUCGGGUACUUAUAUGAUGAGAUGCCAGGGGGACGUCCCGAGUUUGUUAGGAGGGAGCAGCCUAGAGCUUCUGGAGCUGGUACGUCGCAGACAGAGAGGAGCUCCGAACCGAUGGGAGAUGUUCAUUAUCGCCGCCUAGCGAGGCGGAUGGACGCCAUGCAUGACAUCCACCAGAGGUUUGCUUUUGAUUUGACACAGGCUUUAGGCAGUGCUUUUCAGGCACAAGGGGUCACAGNNNNNNNNNNNNNNNNNNNNNNNNNNNNNNNNNNNNNNNNNNNNNNNNNNNNNNNNNNNNNNNNNNNNNNNNNNNNNNNNNNNNNNNNNNNNNNNNNNNNNNNNNNNNNNNNNNNNNNNNNNNNNNNNNNNNNNNNNNNNNNNNNNNNNNNNNNNNNNNNNNNNNNNNNNNNNNNNNNNNNNNNNNNNNNGUAUUCAUUAGAACCCAUGAUGUCGAUUAGUUCGAUUAUGAACUAACCGCCUUCAUGGGAUUCUAAGGGAUUUAUCGAUGUAGUCUAGUAACGAAUAUUAAUUACUUGAUUUUGUGACAUAUGUUGAUUUCUUUGCAUGAGCCGUGCUUAUUCUUCUUAGGAGCGUAGCUAACUUCUAAGUUGUUUGUUAAUUCUUUCUGAAGCGAGAGUGGAUGAUUGAAUUUAGAACUAUGCCAUGUAAACAUAGGAUUAUGUGAAUGAAACAUAAUUUGUGAUAGACUUGAACUAUUUUUAUCACCCUGUGUAAUCACGAUAGAUGACUUGUUAUUUAAACCUCUCUGCUUACACUACCGCUAUAGAGAUAUAGGGUCUGAGCUUUGUUGGUGUCCAUGAGAUUUCUGUCUUAAUUGCGGAUUUUGAUUGGUAUGAUAUGUGUGCAACGAGAGUUGGCAUGUAUUACUUUCGUGUUGUCUGAUUAGGAUCAACAGUCGCAUGUUAAUCAGUAAUUUCAAUUCUAGAUGAAUUCGAUAAUGAAAUUAGAAUCCCAUGUGUUUUCCUAUUCUGAAUUUGAUUAGUAAUUUUAGUUAUUAGUAUAAAAGAAACCAAUCCUUGUUAAUUGUCUUAGCAGUGAUAAUUGAUCAUACAUUGUUGCAUAGGUGCGUAUUCUUAAUUCACCAGUCUCUGUGGGAUCGAACUUAAUAUAUUACUUGUGAUCACGUGCGCUUGCGUGUAGAUUUCACCGAACAGCCAUGCACCUCUUGCUAAACUCAGGUACAUCCCUUCUCUAAAAUCAAAACUGUUGCCUACUGAUAAAGUCUUAAUCACCUGUCCAAUGUCGAAAUUUACCAAACUACCUUUUCAAUUGAGCCAAUCACAUGCCACUGAGAAGUUUGCCUUGAUUCAUGUUGACACUUGGGGGCCGUAUAAAGUGGCAACCCGAGGCAAAUACAAACAUUUUUUGACAAUAGUUGAUGACUAUUCUCGUGUUACAUGGGUGAAUAUACUGCAAUUUAAAUCUGAUUAUCUGUCAACUAUGAAGUCAUUCUAUAACCAUGUGCAAGUUCGCUUCAAAUCUGACAUUCAGACCAUCAGAUCAGACAAUGCAGGCGAGUUUACUGAUGCUAGUUGCAAAGAAUUUUAUGCUGCAAAAGGGAUCACACAUCAGACUUCCUGUGUCAAUCGUCCUCAACAAAAUGCUCGUGUCGAGAGGAGGCACAGAUAUGUACUUGAAGUGGCCAGAUGCUUGCGUUUUCAGGCUGGCCUGCAACUGUCUUUCUGGGGAGAGUGCGUUCUUGCAGCAGUGUACAUCAUCAAUCGUUUGCCAACUCCAACAUUGGAAAACAAAACACCAUAUGAAACUCUUUUUGAGGAGCCUGUUGAUUAUGACAAAGUCAAAGUUUUUGGGUGCUUGGCGUUUGCAGCUAACCCAGCAAAUAUUGGUGAUAAAUUUGGGCCAAGGAGAGUACCUUGUGUCUUUGUUGGCUACCCAUUUUCUCAAAAAGGGUACACACUCCUCAAUUUGACCACUAUGCAGACAUUUGUCUCUCGUGAUGCGGUGUUUCACAAAUCCGUCUUCUCUCUUAACAAUGCAACUGCAGAUUCAUACAUACAACCCACUCCGGUUGUAAUGCCUAACUCUACUGCAGGUCAGUAUACUUAUGAUGAUAUUGUGGUUAGUGAAGACACAUCUGAUGCGAACACUGAAAAUCACGCCUCUUCUUCUGCACAAAUUCCACUUAGACACUCUUUAAGAGUUGCUAAAAAACCAGCUUGGUUGGCAGAUUAUGUCCACAAUGUGCAGUCUUCUAAUGUGGUGGAAGUUGUUGAUCUGCCCAUCGAGAAUCAGUUUCAGUGUUUCUCAGCAACUGUUUCCACCAACACUGAUCCUGUUCACUUCAAGAAAGCUCUCCAGCAUCCUCAUUGGAUGGAGGCGAUGAACAGUGAGCUCACAGCCCUCGAAGAAAAUGAAACAUGGGCUGUCACCACUCUUCCUCCUGGUAAAAAGUCGAUUGGAUGUCGAUGGGUCUUCAAGACUAAGUAUAAUCCCGAUGGCUCCAUUGAACGCUACAAAGCAAGAUUGGUUGUGCUGGGCAACAAACAGAUUUAUGGCAUUGAUUAUGCCGAAACUUUCGCUCCUGUUGCGAAGCUGACUACUGUGCGAAUUUUAUUUGCUGUGGCUGCAAUUCAAAACUGGACUACAGUGCAAAUGGACGUCUCUAACGCGAUCCUAAAUGGUGACCUUGAUGAAGUUGUGUAUAUGAAGCUUCGACAAGGAUAUACAGGCUAUGGUUUCAGAAUUUCCUCACUUACUCUGUCUACACUCGAUCCUGCUACUGUCAACUUGGUGUGUCUCCUUCUAAAAUCACUCUACGGGCUGAGGCAGGCCCCUCGACAGUGGUUUAACAAACUCUCAGAAGUGUUAUUGAGUCUUGGAUACACGCAAUCAAAGAUCGACUACAGUCUCUUUACUAAAAUCUCUGGUACAUCCAUCACCCUUGUACUAGUCUACGUUGAUGAUUUGCUGAUUUUUGGUAAUACAACUGCUGAGAUUGAAUAUCUCAAAGUCAUGCUGGCUAAAAAAUUUCAUAUGAAAGAUCUUGGUCCGGUUAGCUACUUUCUUGGGUUGGAAAUUACUCGUACUCAAGCUGGAUUCUUCAUCUCUCAGAAAAAAUAUGCAUUGGACCUUCUUAAAGAAUUUGGCAUGGAAUCUGCUUCGCCCCUGAAACUGCCCAUGGAUUCCCACAUCAAACUUACACCUACUACUGGUUCGCCUCUUUCAGACCCUCACCAAUAUCAACGACUGGUUGGCAAGCUCAUUUACUUGACCGUUACUUGCCCCGAUAUCACCUUCCCUGUUCACAUAUUAAGCAAGUUCAUGCAUCAGCCUACAAGUGCACACAUGCAAACUGCCAAGAAACUUCUUCGCUAUCUGGUUGGAAACCCAGCACAAGAGAUUCUGUUAGCAUCUUCAUCUUCAGUUUCUAUUCAUGCCUACUCAGAUAGUGACUGGGCAAAUUGUCCCGUCACGCGCCGCUCUACUUCGGGUUUUUGCUUGGUUUUGGGUGACUCACCAAUUAGUUGGAAAACGAAGAAGCAAAACGUCGUAGCUCGCUCCACAGCUAAAGCGGAAUAUCGCUCCAUGGCCUUGACAGCGUGUGAAAUUGAUAAGUGGUAUUUAUACGCACUUAUAGGCCUUCAUUUCUACUUAAAUUGGUUGGUUGUACUUAAGUGUUUAGUGUCUUUUGAUGUGUUUUUAUUGUUUUUCUGUGCAGGUCACGAGUUGAGGUGAUGAAGUGAUUUUCUAUCAUUUUAGGUUGGUUUUGGUGCAUUAUUUGCAAGAAUAGAGAAUUGUGGAUUCAUCACGACUUGGGAUUUUGUGGGUACAUCUUCUACAAACCCUCACGAGAACACACUCGUCCACUAGAGCUAUCUAGGGGUUUAAAGGGCUUGUUGCAUGUGCUAAAUGCAACCGUGAUCACCUACGGAAGUGGUACUAGAGCGAGGAAGGGCAUGCACGCGAGAACGAGC